CGCGUGCAAUCAAUUAAACGGAGCUGUCGUAAAUUGACCGCCUUUGCUACACCUUUUCCGUUUCUUUUUGCAAUGUGGAGUUUAAAUGCACAACCUUUAAUUUGUUGAAAAUUGCAUGCUAAUCAAAGACCUGUAGUUUACUAGAUUCUUAUACUACACAUACUCCUCCCGUAAAAAACUAAGUUAGUACUGGAUGUGACACUAUCUAAAUUCAUUAAUAGCAUAAUGUAUCCUAUAUAAUCUUAAUAUUUGUUUUUUUUGGAACGGAGAGAGGACGUUGUUACUAGUAGCUCAAAACUAUCAAAUCAUUUGCAUCUUUAAUUUGACAAACUCCCGUUAGGAAUCAGUACUCCUGGCUCCACCUCCACCUAUUCCAUUGUCAAAUCAACUGUCAUCUAGCACUAGCACGCGAUACAGCAGAAUUUUACUCCACUGUAUGUAAAAAUCGAGUUUUCUGAAGUAGUGAAGAGCAAAGUGAAUCUACGUAAUCAAGUAGGUGUAUCAGAUAAUGUGAUUAUGUUUGUACUGUUAGUGAUAUAUUCAGUGGCUAGAACUUUCAAGGAAUCAAAAUAUUCGACCGAACCACCACCCUUUUUGGGUAGCCGAAUGUCGGCACUGCCAAAAUUAAAGCAGCACGGCAAGAAAAUGUCUGAUCAAAUUUCUCAUGUAUACUUGUUUCACACGGCGAGAUUUGACUGUACUGACAAUGUCUCAAACAUCCGGCAGGGUUGUCCGGCGGCAUGCCGGCCAACGCACCGUCAACGGCGGCCACCGGCAGCAGCGGCGGCGGCGGUCCGGCGACGCACCGACCCACAAGACGCCACCUGAUUCUUCUUCUGCUGCUCCUGGUGUUCCCCGCUUCGCUGCUGCUCCUGUAAAACUACCCCGUCACACCGGCAAGCAGCACACAUCUGACCUGUACAUGCAUGUACACCGUUCGUCGAUUCAAUUCCUCUCAGAAUUCUUCCGUGACAUUGCCCACGGCUUAGAUCGCGUCAUCGCCGCGAGCAGCGUCCGCCAUGCCCGAUGCCACCCUCGUCCGGUGGGUGGCGCGUGAUGGCGACGCCCGAGCGAGCUAGCGGAGCCGAGCCGAGCAGCUUCGGCGCGGGGGAGCAACCGACCGGGGCAGCAAGACGCGUGACAUGGUUAACGCCGCCUCGGCUAGCAGGCUAGGUGGUUGGUGCAUCGCGCGCGCGCGGGCACGGGCGGCAUGUGAGCCUGCGAGCUGUGGCCGCUGCUGCUACUCUGCUCGCUGUGUGGAUCGCCAGCGAUCGGUUGCUGCGGUGCGCGUGUGCCAUGCCAUCGGCAGCCAGCGAUGCGUGUACAAUACACACACGGCCUCGCGGGGAACAGCGUGGUACGGGGGCAAGGGGGCCUUGCGUGCACGCCGUCGAUCGUGUAUUCGUGUGAGUAUGUGACCUGGUUUUGUGCGUUUCGGCCGUGCCUGCGUUGCCUGGCUGGCUCAGGUACGGUGGGGCUGCGCCGGCGGCUGGUGGACCGUCGUUGUCGACGCGAGGUGGCCAACAGGGCGACCGUUUGGUUGGUCUCUCCAGUUUUGUCUGCUUCUUCUCCUACCUGCCAGGAAACUAGUACAGUAUCCAAUAUGGAUAGUUGUCAAAAAAAAGGAAAAUCCAAUAUGAAUGGGCUGGGUUAAGAUAGCGCUGGCAGCGCCGAUAGGCCUGGGAAAAGGGAAGGAAGGCCCAACUUAACAAGCUGAUCCUCUGAGCCCAUGUAGUGAAGUACAACAAAUAAAUAAGUUCAAUUUACUUCCCUCAAUUUGUCACCAAGUCAGAUGUUCGUCCCUAAACCGAAAUACCAGAAACAACGUGUUCCUCAACUCUCAAAACUAUUGUGGAUAAGGCCACAAGGCGAUCUGGAUGGUGGUUUCAGCUGACAUGGCGCCUACGUGGAUGGUUUGACUUUGGUCAUCGUCCCACAUGGCGUUGACUCCUCAUUGAUAGCGAAGGAAGGAUGAGAUAGAGAGUGCCACGUGAGAUAAGGAUCAAGUCAAACCAUCCACGUAGGUACCACCAUAGGACAUUAUUUGCAGUGGUAUUGAGAGGCAAGGGAGGGAGGUGUUGUAUAUGGUAUUUCGGUUUAUGGACGAAUUUCAUACUUCGUGAUAUAUUAAGACCCAAAGUGAACUUAUUCCUAUAGCAAAGGGGUCGAGAUUCUGUGGCCGUGUUCUGCGUAUUGGACCCUUUCCUGAGACAGCCAUUAUAGAUCGUUGGAAAAAGUCCACCUUACAGUUAUGGGUCAAGUUUUAAUUCAUGUCAUCCAACCGCAAUACUAGGUAUAGAGCAUCUCUCAACUAUCAAAACCAGUAUGAAUCGAGUCUCUUAGUCGUUUUUUUGAUGGUUUGGCUGACGUGGAAUCCUAAUCAGCAUGAAAAAAAUUAAAAAUAUAUAGGACCCAUAUAUCAGAGGGACCCAUCUCUACUCCUCCAUUCUCUCUCUCUCUCUCACUCUCCCUCUGUGUGUGUGUGUGUGGACCUAUGGACGCACGGCGGAGGAGUGCAGCAACGGGUGGAGGCCUUCUACUAGCUAGGCAGAGGAGCUCGAUGUUGGCCGCCGCGUCGCUCGCCCUCUCUCAAGGCCUGCCGCAGGAGCUACGACAACAAGAGCUCCGUCCUGAUCAUCCACCCCGCGUUGUUGCAUCAAGUGGAAGGAUGCCAUGUACAACGUCGACCGCAACCUCAGCGGUCGCAUGUACCUGUCGGUAGCGAUGGAGAAAGGGAACAUGGCUACCCAAGGAGGUUUUGCCCUGGUGAGCGCCAUUGCAUCCCCAUCGACAACGGGCCGGAGCUCGAGCCCCCAGCGCCUCGCCCCACUGCCAGAUUUGCUCUCCCCAACCAUGCUCGCUCCUCCAGCGACUAUGCCGCCAAAUCCACCCAUCUCCAUGCGCGUGGGCCUCCGCUGGAGCUGGCUGACACUGGAGCUCAAGCCCCCAAUGCCUUGCCCUCCACCAGAACACCGCUCCCCCAACCUCCCCCCACCUGCCGCUCUAGCACCAUCAACCGCCGCCUUCUCAAUUUCCUCGACCCACACGUCCCACCGGAGAGGAAGGCGGAAAGGGAGCUUGACGCCGACACCAGGGUGGAGAGGGAUUAAGGAGGAGCGGAGGCCGGCAGCCACACUGGAUGCUAGUAUUGACAACGAAACGGUUGGGAUGGCCGACUAUUGCUGUCAUCUGGGUGCCCACUUCUCUCUGCCGUCGGCGCCGCUAUCUUGGCCGACCAACUGAGGCCGUCAAGGGGAGGGGUCAACCAGAGAGAGGAUAGAGAGGACGAUGGAGAGAGAAAAUAAAGAGGAAAGAAAGAAGGAAUGGUUGGGAUGACAUGUGGGCUUAGGGUUUCUAUAUUAUUUUCCUUUGUGCCUAGCAUGUGGGACUAUUUUUAUUUAUAUUUUCUGAUUCUUAUAUCACGUAGAUGCCACGUUAGAUGAAGAUCAAGUCAAUAGUGUCAUGUGGUAUCACGUCAGCCAAUACCGUUGUCCAAACCACCUUGGGACUAUAUUUACACCUGUUUUAAGAGAUGAAGAAUGUGUUAUACCCAGUGAGGGAUCUAAAGUGAACUUUUUCAUAGGCCGUUUAGCAUUUAGGUGGUUUAGUCGCAAGGCCCAAACUCGUGGGGAUUAAUUAUUUCUCUUUACGGACGGCUCCAGUUCCACAACGCAUCCCCGUGGAUGGAAUCUCUGAACCUAAUGCCUCUUCAUUGUGAUAUUUUUUUGACGUACACCCUUGUGAAAUUUAUGCGCCGGUUUAACUCGAUGUUCAGAUCAUUAUCUCUCAUGGAUGUGUACAGGAACCUAGUGAAAGUGUGGGGACUACUAUGCCACACAAGUAUUCUGACAAGAUACGGGUAGCGGAGCAGAUGAAAGGUGGAACUUUAGAGUCCGGUUUAAUUACUUCGAUCACGAGAUCAGGGUAAAUUUACUCAGCAAAGAUGCAGAGAUGGUCGAACACGAGAUCUCUACUAGAUCGUCCGCGACGGAAACCAACGCUAGGAGUAGUAUUUCUCUGAAGUCCUGAACAGUGAACAUGGACAGGUAGGCGCGACCGAGACACGGAAUCCGAAUCCCUACGCGUGCGGGCUACCUUACCUCUCGAAGAUGGAACAGUGAAAUCUACUCAGGAUCUCGGCUACACGUGUAACGAUCCCCUCAGGCGCAGCCGCUGCCCGAGCGGGAGGGAGCACGGCGCCUGCCAAUUGGCCAUUGACAAAUCAUCGCUCGCGCGCGCCGGGCUUCGCUUUGCCCGCUCCGUGUGACUCGCUGCUGUCUCUGCCAGUGGCAGGCAGUUGUUCAGUGAACCUGUCCAUGUAUUGGCUUGCCGCCAUGGCCGGCGCGCGCGCUCUCCGGAGUUCAAUUGGGCAGGAAGACGGCAAGCGGCAUGUGGUUUUUUAUCUCGACUCGAGAGGGGGCAGUGGAUAACAAAGAGAAAUCCCUUCUGGGGCGUCGCGUCGCGCAGGAUCAGGUCCCUCAAUUGCCGGCAACUCAUCUUCAAGCCAUGGCAAUCCAUUGUUUUAUCGAUAUAAUAGUACUCAUUCAGCUUAAUUACCUCGAGUUCUGAAUGUUUCAAGAGGAGGUGUCUCGAGUAUUCAGUCAGGACAGUGAUAGAGGUAGAUUAAUCCCUGGUGUUGCCACAUGUGUAGUAAACUCUACCAUUCGCAAAUCAAGAAAUACUGUGCAGUUUCCGACAGUGUUCCUGCAAAUCAAGAGUAGCGUGUGUAUUAGGAGCAUGAUUGUACUAUAUUCAUAAGUGACCCUUCAAGCGCCCUAAUGGCUCACCUAAAUGAUUACCCCCUUGCUAAUUUCAAAAGGACCAAUGCUUCGUUUGGUGAAUCAAAAGAAGACAUAGAAAAAACUCGACUAAAUCCGUGAAUAUACACACGCUUAUGUAUGUGCGUGCGUAUAGAGACCACCUCUCCGUCGCCGUCAUCGUCUAACGAAAAAUUGCCCGUCUCCCUUCAGAAAGAGAGUGGAUCAAACUGGUACAGUAUAUGUCACCAAAUCAAGUAUUUGAGGUGUAUAAUACGUAAACUCGAGGUAUAUAGAUACGUAUUCUAUACAGCUAGCACAGUAGUGCGUUAUAAACAAUAGACUGCCACAAUCAUUACUGUCAUUGUGUACGUACAGUUGACACUCGUGGCAAUUAUAAAGUUGCUAGUGUUGACUUUCUCCUGUAUAUGUUCGUACAAUUAUUUAGUGACCAAAUAUAUUUUUAGAUAGAAUAAAGCUCGACCUUUACUUCAAAGAAGUUACAACCACUUAUUACAAAUAUCCGCUCAAUAAAUAGCACGUAACACUACCCACAAAGAGAGCACACAAAAUUCAGGAAGUGCAAAUAUAUAUAUUUGGUGACCAGUCUCACAUCAGAUUAUGUUAACAAAGAUGUACUCCCUCCGUCCAAAAAAACGAAUCUAGAAUUGGAUGUGACGCAUUCUAGUACAAUGAAUCUGGACAGAGGUAUGUCCAGAUUAGUAGUACUAGGAUGUAUCACAUCCAGUAUUAGGUUGGUUUUUUAUAGGAUGGAGGGAGUAAGCAGCAGGGUUAAAAAAAAAGAGAUAAUCCAUUCUAUGCCAUUGACAAAGCAUGGAUUCAACAAUAUACCAUUGAUAAAGCUCAGUUCUAUAAUAUACCAUCGAACAACUACUUUUCUUCCUUACAUGCCAUCGCCGCCAGUCAACAGUUAGUCAAAUUCUGUUAAGAGCAAAAAAAUGUCUAUUUUACCCCUAGGGUACGAUGCAUCCUCAUCGAUUUCACUGAUCAUGAUUCACUAUUUAUUCUCAUUGAUGAAAAAUUGAAAUUGCUUGUCUUUUUAUCAUCCAAGAUUUUUUUACCGCGAUAUGGCAUUAUGCAAAAUCUCAAUUUUAUGCUAGGGGUAAAAUGGUCAUUUUUCAUCUUUUAACGGCGGUUGACUAACGUCGAUGGCAUAUAAGGAAGAAAAUGAGUCAUUCGAUGGUAUAGUGUGGAACUGAGUUUUGUCAGUGGCAUAUUGUAGAACCCGCGUUUUGUCGAUGUCAUAAAAUGGAUUGACUCUAAAAAAAACGCCUUCAAAAACUCCAGAGCAGUUUUCUUAGUUUUCACGAAAUAGCUGAAUUAAUACUUGUGAAAUUCGACUAAAUUUUGUCAAAAUUGAGUUUUUUUUUUACUUAACCGAUUUGUGCAAAACCGAGCGGUUUCCAUCAGCUUUGUUAAAACCCUGAUUAAGCAGUAACGUAACCACUUCUUUUCUACUCUAUCAGAGAACACGCAGGGAAUUGACCCCAUGCUCUAUUGGAGAAAAGAACAACUUCAACUAUACGUAUUCAAUUCGAAGACUUGCCGUUCAGCAUAUUCUGGAUGACGACUGUAGUCUGUAGAACUAUUCCUCAUCCCCAAAUACAUUUUGUCUCCCUGCUUGCCACAGCUUAACCUUUCUCCUUUCUGCAAUAUUUUUACAGGACAGGAAAGGUUCUUCAGAAAAUACUUCUACUACUACAACAACAAAAGGUGGCCUUUCUUUUUUGUUGUGGAUGUAGCAUGUGUGAGGAAACUUUGACGGAUCGAAACCGCGUGAAAAAGGCCCAACAAUAUCACCUGCCGACACCAAACCGCAUCUCUGGUCUCGAGACCUCGCAUCGUCGAACAGCGGCGAACUGGUCCACGCACCCCGCGUGGGCGGUGGCCGGCUAAAAGGCCCGACCGGUCCGCCGGGAGCUCGCCGUCUUGGGGUUUUUGCAGUCGCGGAGUCUCUCGGUGGGGCGGUGCCAUGGCAGUGAGUGGCAAGCUUUGCUUUGCUCCCUGCGUGAUGAGUACUCCUACCUGCUAGUAUAUAGAAAGCCCCAAAGUAAGUAAAUGGGCACAUUUGGACUGCUUGGAAGUUUGAUCUCACAAGAAUUUCUGUAGGACAAAAAGAAAAAAAAAUGGCGGCACAACUUGGAGAGAGUUUGGGUGGAUGUUGCAUAUCAGUUAUCAUAUUUGCUCAGCAAGUCAGAAUAGCUGAAAGUUCUUAAAACAGAGUAUACAUAAAAAGGAAAAAAAGAGAGCACCCACAAUGCCAGAGAUUACUGAUUAAACUACGCUAUCAGGGGUUCAGAUAGGAUCAAACAGCCGCGCGCUCUUUCCUCUUUCUUAGGAGUAUAGAUUGACAAUGCAUUUGGCAUUUGCUAUUUCCCACGUGAUGGUGAUGGCGAUAAAUCAUUUUAGCUACUACUAAUAUGAUGAUGGAAGACACUAGGGGUGCCCCAUAGCAUAAUCUAUCAGCCGCCUUGUGCGUUAAGCAUAAUUUGUUUAAGUGGUCGAGGAAUUUACCAAGGGUGGAAGGCAUGCACUUGACAAGAAGAAUUACUUUCUAUCGCAAUCACCCGGUAUAAAACUAUGUUAUCUUGCUUACACUAGAAAGUUGAUUUCGAGCCUUGCGUACUAGGAAAAUGUUUGCCGCAAAAAGGUGGCGCGUCACGAUUACUGGAAAAAAGUCAGUGAGAUGUGAGGUCACAAUAAUCAGUUAAUUUAUGCUUGGGUUUUAACGGCAAUGUACAGUUGUCCAGCCAACUGUCGAGACUACUACAGCUCCCAAAAAGAAAAUAAAUGAGCAGCGUACACCUAAUUUAUCUUCCAUUUUAUUUGUAUAUUUUAGGUGGAAAAUUAUAACAUCCGGCUUUCCAUUUUGUAUGGAUGGACUCACGGACAAAAUGCUACUAACACAUGCCACUUGUUAAGAGAAAGGUUGGCGAAAUUACGUUACCCAAUAUCAAUACUUGAGAAGAUGAGAGGAGGUUAGAGAGGAACAAAUACUGCUACUCGAUAUAGUCAAAUUGUAAUCAAUGUGUUUCGUGAAAAAAAUAUAUAUGUAAAAUUUUCUUGGAAUACUUUUCUAAAAUAGCUUUUUAAUUUCGUAUGAGUUAAUUUAUUUGUUUAUAUACGUAAAUUAAAUAGAUAUUAAAAAAAUCAAAUACUAAUCAUUUAUUUCAGCUGGUAUAUCAGAUACUAGGAUUGACAAGUUCGUUAGAGUUAAGUGGGUGGUCCGAUGUAAAAUUGAAAAGAUACUCCGUACUCAGUGCAAUGAAAGGGUUGAGUUACCACGUUGGUAGGGUUGCGCGAAAGCACCAGCUCGGAUCUGUGUCCUCUUCCUUCGGUGAGGUGGCACGGACAGACUGGAAACCGAUCGAGACGAAUGGAGGAGUAAUGAGCACGUGUCAGAAAUCCGAUCAAGAAGGAAUUGAAACUGGCGUACAGCACAUGGGGACCCGAUUGCCACUCAUUUGAUUUCCUACUCCUAUUGAAGACGGAAUUUCAUCGUCCCGAGUUCUAGAUUGUGGUAGUAAAUCACUGCUCCAAAAUCCAUGCAAUCUGCUACUGCUAGUAGAUUUUGAGGUGAAUCUACCAGUUGAGAUGAUGGCUCCAGCGCUUCGUGUUGUCUGAAUGGCCAGGGGGCGACAGGUUCAGGGCGAGAUCCGAAACUGAGAUAAGGAUGAAUGAUUGCUUCCACUGUCACCAACCAAAUCAUAAAUAAACAAGACGCCGCAACUAGCUACUGCCUACUGGCCUAGUGAAUUUCAGAUCAUGCUGAGAUGGUAUUGUAAUACUUCCUCCGUAAAAAAAAAUUAGAAUAGAAUGUGACAUAUUUUCUCUGUUUUAUAAUGUCUAUCAUUUUCAACAUUCAUACUGAUAUUAAUAAAUCUAGAUUGUGUAGAACUCAAGAGUAUAUUAUAGUUAAUUUUUUCUAUGUAUUCUCAUAUCAUGGACCAAUUAAGCGAUAGAUUCUCUAUAUUCUCCACACGGUAUUUGUGCUCAUGAGCCAUGCGCCAAAAUUUAGCCAUCUGAAUUUUAUAUACCAGCAAUUUGACGGCCUAGAUUCAAUCAUAUCCAACCAAUGGUUAAUGCGCCCCUAAUUGUGGGUUAAUGCUUUUGCUAGCUAGCCUAGCUAAGAACAAUAGUCAGGUUGUGUGCGUCCGUGCGGACGCUGAAAUGUAGCCCUUCUCCAAUCCCAUCCGUUUCAGAAUUUCGGUUUUAUCCUAUCUUAAACUUCAUAAAGGUUGGGAAUAUUUAUAGAAAAAACAUAGCAAUAUUUUUAUAGCACCAAAAAAAAUAUAUUCAAUUGUGGAUUUAAUAAAAUUAAUUUGGUGGUAUAAAUAUUGCUAUGUUAUUCUAUAAAUUAGGUCUAACCGUGGCUUGUCGGCCUUGGCACCUACGGUGGGUUUUGAAGCACCCACUCACAUAUGCACCGGUGCCGGAGACCGACUGGAUCGCCUACAUAGCUCGGGUUUAACGGCGACUGCUCUCACCAUGUCGCCGCGCGGGGUUGCGACGUCGGGGAGGCAUGCCGCAGCACAACAUUGUGCACCUGCGCGGCGGCGGGAGCGGCUGCAAUUGGCAUCUUUUUCUUGGGCCGCCUCCCUUGCUGGCGCCCUCCUCACCGCCUGCGGUAUCAGCUGGAGAGAGGACAGAGAUGGAGGAAGAGAAAAUAUGGGAGGAUAAAGGAAGAUGGAACUGUUAUAUGGGUCCCUAAACCAAUGUUUAGGGGUAUUAGACGGGAGAAAGAAGGAAUAAAACGGGAAAAAAAAGAGAUGGAUGGAAAAUAUGAUGACAGUAGUAUGGUCCUAAUUUUGUACAGUUUCAGUUACAUGGAUAAACACAUUUAUUGUAACGAUAUUUAUUUGAAUAAACACAUUUACAUAUGGAUUCAAUUUACCUUUUUUUUAUCCUUAGUGCAGUGUCUGUCCAAGAUAUUGUGGUUAUUGGAGUCGAUCGACAAGAUAUUUUUUAACCACUUAAUAUGUGAUUUAUUUUUAUUGUGUUAUGUUUUAUACCAAGUAUGUUUUUACAUAGUACAUGAUUUGCCGAUUUCCAGACCCUCCGGAUACGCGAAACGACAUAUUUUCAAUUGAAAAAUAAUUUGUAAAUAAAAAUUUUAUAUAUGUGUUCUUAGCGAUCUAAAAGCAAAUGCUAAAAAAUAAACUUCGAUGAAAAAACCCUGAAAUUAACUUUAAAUUUAAGGUCAAAAAUUUAAAAUGUGGCUGAUAAGUAUAAGCGCAAGCGAAAAGACGAGGCACUCUCAGAGAGGGUUUUGUAUAUAUCCCCUACCAAGCUUUUGCUUAUUUCAUCUCAUGCAAAGUUUUGUCCCUUGCUCAGAUUUUUUAAAGUCAAACUUUAUGGUUGUUGUGCAUCCUAUAUGUAGAUGUCGGCCAUGUUGGGUAGCUAAUCAUUUUUCUUAUGUAUAUAAAAUUAAAACUUAAAAUAUUAAUACAUUUACUAAUUUUGUUCUAAUAAAGGAAUUUUAGGAUACAUCUGGAUAAGUAAUGCUCAUAUAAAUCCUUAAAGUCUCUUAUAUUUUUCGACGAACUAAGUGACAUUUGUUACUAGACUGUACACUGAAAAUAUUAUCCAUAGAUCAGUAUAAAAUUUCUUUCAUAAUAUUACAGGUUUAUCAGGUCAUAAAGUUGAAUAAUAGGUCAGGUUUGAUCGUGCAUCUACAAGUAAAACGAUAAAAAAAUAUUGUCGUCAGUGAAGAAAAUAUCGGGGUUUUUUGCGUGAGAAGAUUAUACCCGCUUGUAAUUCAAUAGUUUUGACUCAUACGAUUUGACUUUUCUGUUCACGUCUUGAGUGUCUUGACGUACCUAGAAGCGUAAUUAUGCAGCAUGUACGUGCAGCUAGUCAGUGGCGAAUAAAAAAAAUAGUAGUGAGGCUGAGCAAACUCCACUCCUCCCAUCUAUAUAUGUAAAAUACAUAUUAAUCCCUCGGUCUGAAAAAUAGAAAAUAUAAAUAAAUGGAGCGUAGGAGUAUUUCAGUCAGAAUUACUAGUAGCUGGAUAAUUAAGGGUGUGUUUAGUUCACGUCAAAAUUGAAAGUUUGGUUAAAAUUGAAACGAUGUGAUGAAAAAUUUGAAAGUUUAUGUGUGUAUAAAAGUUUUGAUGUGAUGGAAAAGUUGGAAGUUUAAAGAAAAAGUUUGGAACUAAACAAGGGCUAAGAAUCGUGCUCGGACAAACUAUGAAAUUAAGAGCUAGCCAGCACAUCGACUGAAAUUUCUUUCAGGUUGUCGGCUGCCUGUUUCUUUUUCCAGUUUUUUUUUCUUUUUCAUCAACUUGGUACUUUUUCAAAUUGACAAUGCGACAUAUCAAUUUAUAUCGAUACAAUGGCCGCGGUUGACUACACAUGUUUAUAUCUAUAGGUCAACUGAUUGUACUCCAUAUGCUAAGAGUAGUACUCUUUGAAUUAAAGUAAGAGCAUUCUUUAUUCAAACAUGGAAAAAUGGUGGAAUUUUUUCCUAGUCAAAAAUACAACCUCCUCUGCAUCUCAUCAAAGAUUGUACACGCUGUUUUCACUCAAGUAAAACCAUGGGUCAGUUUCAGAGAGUUUCUGACAACUACAUGUCUACAACUACUCCUAGAAUUUGAUCUCUCCCAAAUAGUUUAAAUUCUCACCUGAAUUCUAAUACUUUACUCCAUCCGUCCCUCAAAGACUAUUAUUUUAUUUUAGAAAUUCAAAAACAUAUAAAAUAAAUAAAUAAAUGACUAACAUACCCUUUUGUCCAUGUGGAGAGAACGAGUAGAGGAAGGAAAUUAGGAGGAGAUGGGUACUAUUGGUUAGAUAGCUAAAAACAAGAUGAAGUAGUAUUAAGGUGUAGUUCAUUUCGAGUGUUGGCCGCAGUAACUCCGUGGUAUAUAAAACGAGAUAAGCCAUUAGCAAAUAAUUAACUGAAUGUUUUUAGAACGAAUAAUUCAUUGAAUGUUCAUAAUUACAAAGUUUAAACAAAUAGAUUUAUUUUUUUAAAAAAAAUACUUCUAUAAAAAAGGUUUUCUAAAAAGCAAACCGUUCCAGAAAACGAGGAAGUUGUCACUCCAAACCCGAACCUAAAACUAUAGUUUUCAUGGGAUAAACUUUUAGGCUAAACCAACCAGUUUUUAAGACGUAUAGAGUAAUAGUUAUAAUUUCUAGAAAAUAAAUUGGUUAUCGGAAGCUAGGUUCUCUAAAUUAUCACUCAGUCACCAGUUAAUUGUCAAAAAUUUUAGCUGUCCUGAAUAGAGCAUAUAUUGUCGUCAUGCCUGUUUGAGCUACGGAUUAUAAGCCAUAGCUAAGCUCUAAAUUUGAAACUUAAAUUUUUCCAUUAAUUUUCCGUCGCUUUUGUCACUCAAACUAUUGGACACCACUAAGAACAGAAAUGGAAAAAAAAAUCUUACUCCAAAGUCAUUUAGUUUUCCCUUUUCAUUCACCACGUCUCAUCAGCCUAUGUCCAAAAAAAAACACCUCACGACCAGCAGCAAUAUUUCUCCAGGUUAGUUACUGCGUGCUCCAGCAAAGUUACCGACCGUGUGUGCCCAAACUCGUGUGCAGUACAAAACUGUACACGCGCUGGCAUCAUGCAUUUCAACCGCGGACCACUCCAAAGCCGAUCUGAAGUGCGUUCCACGGGACCAGGUGAUGCUACCGAGACGGCCACACGUGUUCACCGCCCAAGAAGCACGAUGAGCACGUGCGGUAGAUCGGAUUGGUGGUCACGACGGACGGCCCGAGAUGUGACCACGACCCACCCCACGCCUUUACGUGUACGGCCUGGAUAGGCCCCGGCGACCAUUUCACCGGCGGUAUAUCCCCCCCGCAUCUCGACUAGUACUGCGCGUGGUUGCUCGUCUGACGAAAGCAAGUAAAAAAAAAACUCGAGCUUACUACUACAGUAUAGUCCACGUGGAGUUAGAGUAGCACUCCAGUAGUAGUGCCAUUUGUAGAGAAAAAGUUGGAGUACGCUAUUCUACUAGUAACCUUUUUACUGUACUCUGCUAGCUGGAAGUGUACCAUUGAGUUAUAGCUAUACAGUUCUAGGAAGGAAAUUCUGGAUGUGGUAGUUUUCAUGAAGCAGUACACAAAAUACGUCAACCACGUCUACUACUCCAAAUAGGAGGCAUACGUAUGUCCGGUCAUUUUCUAUUCAUGUCUAAGACAGUGGACACCGUACUACACCCUACUGUAUCGAUCCACAUGACCUAGAAAAAUGGAGCAUAUGUACAAGCAAAUGGGCACAUCAGAAUGGCCAAAGAAAAAACAUAUCUAACCCCAAAAAAACUACUUCCUCCUCCGUUUCAAAAUAUAGCAACUUUUAGCCCUUAGUAUUUGUCCCAAAAUAUAACUUCUCCACCAACAUUCUCUUCCUAACCAAUCACAACCCUCCAACAUUCAAUUUUCCCACCUAUCUCCACUACUCAGCCAAUCACAAUCAUCUACCACUCACUUCUACCACUAUCUCUAAAAAAUAAGUCCCUACCUUAGAGACUUAUUUUUGGAGACCCCCUUAACAACCGUAUCCAACUCUAGAACUUUUUAUAUUGUGGGACGGAAGAAGUAUUACCUGCAAAAGGAAAAAAUUGAUAUCUAACCAGGACAUGAUUGGGGGAGUAGUACAACUUAAAUGGCGAAGAGGAAAAAAAAAUACAAGAUCGUUGCGGAAACCGUAAUUAAAUCCGUCGCCCCCAAUUAUUUCCCGGUGCCUGAACAAGAUCAAACUAUCAGAUUCCUGUAGCCCUGUAUUGCUGUGGCCAACGGUAUCUGAAGCAGUAGCAGUACUAAUGCAAGUUGUUCCGAGGAAAACAAGAACCAGCAGUACUCCAAGUUAAAAGCACACAAAUGUACCAGGAGUACAAUGCAACAGCAUCUGGCUCUGAUUAAGGUCCGUGUUAACUUGCACUGUUGCACAAACUCGAUCGAUUAAGAGCUGAUACAAUAAUAGACUAUUAGCUGGCUACAAACAUAUUUUAAUAAGAUAAAAGAUAAGAGAGAAGAGCAGCAGGCUACAGAUCUGUAGCCAGCUGCAGCACGGACUUCAAGACACAAUGUGUGUAGAACAGGUGUGAUCAUAUACUAAUAGUAUAGUAAGCAAUUAUUGUAUAAAUUAUCUAUUAUAUUAGUUAUAAAUGAAUUGGAGCUAGUAGUGGACUAUACUAUUAAACUUGCUCUAAUAAUUUACCUGCAGUGCGAUUAAUACCGUACUCUCUGUCUCCACACUAGCGUGGUUAAUGUUGGAUCUUUUUACUGCGGUAGAAAAUCUACCGAGGCGUAGUACGCGCGUUCCCGGGGAGGUGUGAACCCGAGUUUGUGUGGGGCCCGAGUGAGGUGGGCGUGCGUGUAAAGCCACACAGGGCCGAGGGAGUGGGCCCGGGUUUGUUCAGGACACGUGGCCCAAGCCCAUAUGGCAGCACGUGGUGGUGCUUCAGGAUCGCGCUGCUGCGGCGGCGGCUGCGGAAUCGAAGGCCGUCAAAGUUAACCGGAUUUGAUGAGGAAAGUGUGGCUUCGCCGAUGACCGUUUUGCCCUCCGUAGCAGCUGUGAGCGCUCGCACUGCUGCUGCUAGCGCUAGCGCUGUCCUUGCUGUGCUGUAGCCGCUGGAUCUUGUGCGGAUUGUCUAGCUGUAUGUAGGUGCUACUGAGCUCAGCAGUAACCGAAAGAGUUAGGACUCGCAUGCACCUAUUUGGUUCUGUUCGUUUGAUGGACUAGGAGCAAGUCUGUGCGUUUUUAACUACACUUUCGCAAUUUACUCUCUCAUUUUUUACAUGUAUGUUAAUAUAUUUUUUUCUUGAAGUGCUAAGGUCCUCUUUUUUAGACUUGGGUUUAUUGGUUUAGUCUUUUAAUUCAUCUUUUUCUUAUAUGUUUUAUAGACCGAUAACUUUGAAAACCUAAACUUAAUGGUUGAGUUAUUCCUCACCUCAAUUAAGCAAAAAAAAAAAAACCCUCCAACCUAACUUUGGCUUAACAGUGCAAUAGUGACUUAUGGUUUUAAAAAAAUACCAAACGAAAAAUCUGCAUAUUUGUUUACUCUUAAACUUUCCAGCUCAUAAGUCGAGUGAUAUAUUUUUUUCAAAAAAAAUUUUAUAGGAAAGUUGGUUUAAAAAAUCUCUUUAGCUAGUACAUAUGUAAUCACGUGCUAAUACAUCGGUUUGUUUUGUGUACCAAAGAGAAGGGUUCCAACACCCUAAGAAAACUCUGCCUAAUGCUCAUUAAUUAAGAGGUAACACAUACAACAUAUUAUCUUUAAUACAUUUGUCCUAAUAUAUUAUAAUAAUUUUACUUUAUUUAUUUUCAUUCAAUUUAUUGGUCUAUUUCUCAUCUCUUUAAGAGCGAGUACAACAAGAUGAUGUAAGCAAGCUAUAUAAGUUGCAACAUCAUAUUUGUAUUUAUGCGGAAGAAAAAGGAGAGGAGAUAGAAAAAAAAGCGGGCUAUAGAUUUGUAGCCAACUGCACCACGAGCUCCGAUAAACUAUUGGGUGGAUUAGAUAUUAAUAAUGCAAUAUAUGUUUACAGCUUACUACUGUAUGAGUGUUUUUAGGUUGGAUAUAGAUGAUGUUUUAAUUUUUGGAACUACUAGUAAUUGGCUUUAUUAUUAAACUUGCACUAAGAAGUAUGUAUAUAUGUUACCCCAUACAUAAGAGGUGACUCCUCUCUUCUCCAUCUCAUGUGAUCGGGCAUCUUGGGGGCAAGAGCAUUGAGGUCUAUAGUACUUGCUCUAGUGGUGAGUUCUAAACUGAUUUUAUGAUUGACUACUUUCUCGUUCUUUGUAAGGACACAUCCCGAACAGCUAAACUGUGUUUCAUGUAAAAAAAUAAAAGUUAUCUAUUUUUCAAAUCUGUAAUAAUUAAUACUCGAUUAACCAUGCAUCAAAGGUUUAUCUCAUUUCAGGUGUCACUAAAAAGCUUAGCCCAACCGCUCUCCCGAACUUAGCCUUAAGUAUAUAUAAGUUUGCUAUGUUUAAGUUGCCUAUGGUAUAUAAAAAUGGAGCACACCUUAGCUAGCAAUAUGAAGGAUGCUCUAUUUUGUAGAUUGAGUGGAGCACAAAUAUGGCUAUAAACCAAAAGGUGAUUUUUUGUGAUGUGAAAAAAGUAGGAAAUGUUUGGCAGUGAAUUAAACAACAUUUGAGUACUUUACUCUCUUUGUAAAUGGUAUAGUAUGUUACAAUGACAGUAGGAUAUUAAAUUGUCUGAGUAAAUUGAUCACUAAACUUAGUGUUUGCUGGCCAAACAAUUAUAGUUUGUAGUAUAUUCUACAAAUUAACAAAAUCUAGCUUACAUUUAAGUUUGCAUACCAUUAAAAGAAAAAACUUGUCGUAAUGUUUUACUCAUUUAUGUCUAGUUUGGUUUUUUCCUAACUGAGCGUUUCAAUAAUAAAUGUAUAGCAAACUUAUUUUUUUACUUUGAUUGAAAUGGACAAUUUUAGAAACAAGAUGUAUGUGAGUUGAAACAUCGAUUAAUAUACUCCCAAUAAGAUAUUAUCUAUACUCCUCUAAAAAGAAUUCAAUGGUGGUGGUAUUGAAGCUGCCAUCAACACAUACUCCCAUUACAAUUUUUACAUAUUAUCUCUUAAACUUCUUAAUAUUUACAUAACAACUAAAUCUAAAUAGAUAGCCACAUAUAAAAUUAACGUGGAUAAUCACAUUUUCCUACACAUUCAAACUAGACAACGUUCAUUAGAUAUUUUAUCCUAGUUUGUAUGCUUCCAGCCAAAAACUAAUUAAUCAUAUUUUAAAUUCAAUAACAGUUUAGAGAACUCAUUAAAAAAAACUCCCGCCAAACACGUACGUGUACUCACACGUUUUGCCCUAUUUUUGCAUGCCUACCGAUGUACGUGCUCCCAUAAAAAAACUUGAAAAGCGCGCAGAAAAUCAGUCUCUCCCCCAUGUAGCCUCCGGGAGGGAGAACCAAUCUGAUACUGUACUACAUACAGUACUAAACAGAACCCUACCGAGGGCAAAACGGUAAACCGGCCUCCCUGCAGCCCCUGGAGGGCCUGGACACAGUACACCUAGCUAUUAGCUCUCUGAUCCUGGGACCCCACAUGUCACGGACAGAUGCCUGUGUUUCACCUUUUCACCCUCCCAAAGCAACGCAGUUACCGGCUUACCGGAGCGAGCCGCCGCCGCCGCCGCAGCGCAGCGGCGCAGGGCGGUUCGUUCGUGGGAGGAAGACUAGUUUUAGGGCGGGAUUAUAAAAGGGGGAGGGGGAGGAGAAGGUCCCUGUCGCUGUUGCACCCAAGCCACCACCCAUUUCGGCACACCCUUCCCUCCACUUGCCGAUUACUUUUUUGCCCCCCGGCGCGCUGGGCGCCUUGGCUUUGGCCCUGGCUUUGGCUCCGCUGUUCUUAUCUUCCCCACUCGUGCCUGGCUCUCUCUCUCUCCCUUUCUCCUCUCCUCCAAGGUCAUGGCAAAGGAGAAAUAACAGCUAGCGGGCUUGGGGAAGGGAAAACAGCAAGUGGGAGAUCGGCAGGGAGAGGUAGGGAGCUCGAUCUCGCCUUUGCUUGCUUGCUGCUAUCCCCUUCUCUUUCUGUUGUGGGCUUGCUGUUCUCCAUGUCCUCCUGUUGAUGGUUGCUUGUGUUCGAGUUUUUUUCUUUUUUUUUCUUUUUUUUUCUUGGAGAGGAUGUGGUUGUGUUCAUGAUAGGUUGGUGGUCUGUGAUCUGUUUGGGUAGAUCUUUUGUCCUCUUUUUCAGAUAUUUCGUGGAUGCUAGAGCUGCCUGCGGUAGCCAAUUCCUGUUUGGCUACUUCUUCGUUGCCCUUUAUUCCCUUCCAAUUUUAUUCCGUGAUUUUCUGUUCUUGUGCGUAGAAUUGUUUCUGCCAAGCUUGAGUAAAUCCAUGGCAGAGGUCAAAGCUUAGCUUUUUUCAGAUUAUACGAUUUGCUGCCAGCCAAAGGAGAAAGGGAAAAAAACUUAGAAAUUUUCUACUAGUUUUCUCUUGUUGUGUUCAUUAGAUCUCAGAGAUUAACCUAAUUUAAGGAAUACAUGUUGUAAAUCCUGCUCUGGAAAUGUUAAGUGGUUGGGUGUAAGGAAGCAUCUUGUUUUGCAUCGAGUUUAUGGCCAAAAACAAUCAUUGAUGCUUCCUCUAAGGCGGUGUAUGUUUUCCUCUGUUCUCCAUUUGAUGUGUUCUUGAUCCAUUUUCGUCUCUUGUUUUCUUCUGUUCUUUUAGAUGGCCUCCGAUUCCUUUUGAUAAGCACAUGGGUACAUGUUCUUGUUUCCAACAGUCCAUGCCGGUCGUGGUAGACCGAAAAAAUAAUCCAUAAAAAUAUAUCCUUUUUCUGAAAUGUUUUUCCCGUGCUUUUCUAUUCCUUUUUCAUCUCCCACUUUGAUCUGAUCAAGGCUUGUUGUUUCAUGUGUUUCAAAAUACUUCACGGAAAGGAUAAGAAAAGGAGAAAUUUCACAUGUUUAAGUUUCUUUUGAUCCCUACUUGUUUCAAAGCAGCAUGAAAAUACCGUUUCAGCUAAUCCCGUGCAUCACAAAAUGUUUUCAUGCUUCGGCUUUGACUAAUUCUUCCGUUAGUACUUUAUUUAUGAUCAUGUCUGAAUCAUGAUACCUUUAUGCUGUGUAGUAUGAUUAUGUCACAACAAAAGAUAACCAUGUCCUAUAUGACUGUUAAUUGCGUGCUCUUAACUCUGUGAGAGGAUUGCAGGAGAUAUGUCUGAUCAGAUAAAGAUCUCUCUGUUUCACCAAACACAUGCAAAAUUAGGCUCUGGCCCUUGCUUCAAUAGGCAAACCUAAUUUUACUCGCGCGAUAAUCUCCUGGUCUCCUGGCUUUCUAGAUCUUAGAAUGUUUUCUGAAGGGAAACAAACCAGUACUGCCUCUUUAUUUUUGGUAAUGGCGUAAUUGCCGCAUUAGGAUGCUGCGGUAACCGUAGUCGUGUUGCGCAUGUAUUCUCAGUUAAGGAGGUAGUAGUAACACUUAUUGCGUUUAGACGAAGUAAUCAGUUGCUUAAACUUGGUUUUGAUUUCUGUAAUUAACAUCAGCUUCUUCUCUUGCUUGUGUGCAGGUGAAUUACUACUUGAGUAGAAGUGGUACAAGAAGAGUCGUCGUCUACCUGUGAGCGAAUUAUUUCGAGGUUGUGCGUUGCGAUGAUGGGAGGUGGUCUGGUGAUGGACCAGGGCAUGAUGUUCCCCGGCGUGCACAACUUCGUGGAUCUCCUGCAGCAGAACGGCGGCGACAAGAACCUCGGCUUCGGCGCGCUCGUGCCGCAGACGUCGUCGGGGGAGCAGUGCGUGAUGGGGGAGGGCGACCUCGUGGACCCGCCGCCGGAGAGCUUCCCGGACGCCGGUGAGGACGACAGCGACGACGACGUGGAGGACAUCGAGGAGCUGGAGCGCCGCAUGUGGCGCGACCGCAUGAAGCUGAAGCGGCUCAAGGAGCUGCAGCUGAGCCGGGGCAAGGACCCCGCGGGCGGCGUCGUGGGCGACCCGUCCAAGCCGCGGCAGUCGCAGGAGCAGGCGCGGCGGAAGAAGAUGUCGCGCGCGCAGGACGGCAUCCUCAAGUACAUGCUCAAGAUGAUGGAGGUGUGCCGCGCGCAGGGGUUCGUGUACGGGAUCAUCCCGGAGAAGGGCAAGCCGGUGAGCGGCGCCUCCGACAACCUCCGCGGCUGGUGGAAGGAGAAGGUCCGCUUCGACCGCAACGGCCCCGCCGCCAUCGCCAAGUACCAGGCCGACAACGCCGUCCCGGGCUUCGAGAGCGAGCUCGCCUCCGGCACCGGGAGCCCGCACUCGCUGCAGGAGCUGCAGGACACCACCCUCGGGUCGCUGCUCUCGGCGCUCAUGCAGCACUGCGACCCUCCGCAGCGGCGGUACCCGCUCGAGAAGGGCGUCCCUCCGCCGUGGUGGCCCACCGGCGACGAGGAGUGGUGGCCGGAGCUCGGCAUCCCCAAGGACCAGGGCCCGCCUCCGUACAAGAAGCCCCAUGACCUCAAGAAGGCCUGGAAGGUCAGCGUGCUCACCGCUGUCAUCAAGCACAUGUCGCCGGACAUCGAGAAGAUCCGCCGGCUGGUCCGGCAGUCCAAGUGCCUCCAGGACAAGAUGACCGCCAAGGAGAUCUCCACCUGGCUGGCCGUCGUCAAGCAGGAAGAGGAGCUGUACCUGAAGCUGAACCCCGGUGCCCGCCCUCCGGCACCUACCGGCGGCAUCACCAGCGCCAUAUCGUUCAACGCCAGCUCAAGUGAGUACGACGUCGACGUCGUCGACGACUGCAAGGGCGACGAGGCCGGCAACCAGAAGGCUGUUGUUGUCGCCGACCCGACCGCGUUCAACCUCGGCGCGGCUAUGCUGAACGACAAGUUCCUCAUGCCGGCGUCCAUGAAGGAGGAGGCCACCGAUGUCGAGUUCAUCCAGAAGAGGAGCGCGUCUGGCGCGGAGCCUGAGCUGAUGCUGAACAACCGUGUCUACACCUGCCACAAUGUCCAGUGCCCGCAUAGCGACUAUGGAUACGGGUUCCUUGACCGGAACGCGCGCAACAGCCACCAAUACACUUGCAAGUACAAUGAUCCACUCCAGCAGAGCACGGAGAACAAGCCAUCGCCACCGGCCAUCUUCCCGGCAACCUACAACACGCCGAACCAGGCUCUGAACAAUCUGGAUUUCGGCCUGCCCAUGGAUGGCCAGAGGUCAAUUACAGAGCUGAUGAACAUGUACGACAACAACUUCGUGGCCAACAAGAACCUUAGCAACGACAAUGCCACGAUCAUGGAGAGGCCUAAUGCAGUCAACCCAAGGAUACAGAUUGAAGAAGGCUUUUUUGGACAGGGAAGUGGCAUCGGCGGCAGCAACGGAGGUGUGUUCGAAGAUGUCAAUGGCAUGAUGCAGCAACCGCAGCAGACCACCCCGGCACAGCAGCAGUUCUUCAUCCGCGACGAUACUCCAUUCGGUAACCAGAUGGGCGACAUCAAUGGCGCAUCGGAGUUCAGGUUCGGCUCUGGUUUCAACAUGUCAGGUGCCGUCGAAUACCCCGGCGCAAUGCAGGGCCAGCAGAAGAAUGACGGCGCAUCGGAGUUUGAGGAAUUGGAAUGAUCCUAAGAGAUAGUGCUGGCCAAGUUAUUUUUACAUCAUGGCACUCUCUGGAUUAUUGCACCGAGGUGCUGGAAAUCUAGCUUACAUUUAAGUUUGCAUACCAUUAAAAGAAAAAACUUGUCGUAAUGUUUUACUCAUUUAUGUCUAGUUUGGUUUUUUCCUAACUGAGCGUUUCAAUAAUAAAUGUAUAGCAAACUUAUUUUUUUACUUUGAUUGAAAUGGACAAUUUUAGAAACAAGAUGUAUGUGAGUUGAAACAUCGAUUAAUAUACUCCCAAUAAGAUAUUAUCUAUACUCCUCUAAAAAGAAUUCAAUGGUGGUGGUAUUGAAGCUGCCAUCAACACAUACUCCCAUUACAAUUUUUACAUAUUAUCUCUUAAACUUCUUAAUAUUUACAUAACAACUAAAUCUAAAUAGAUAGCCACAUAUAAAAUUAACGUGGAUAAUCACAUUUUCCUACACAUUCAAACUAGACAACGUUCAUUAGAUAUUUUAUCCUAGUUUGUAUGCUUCCAGCCAAAAACUAAUUAAUCAUAUUUUAAAUUCAAUAACAGUUUAGAGAACUCAUUAAAAAAAACUCCCGCCAAACACGUACGUGUACUCACACGUUUUGCCCUAUUUUUGCAUGCCUACCGAUGUACGUGCUCCCAUAAAAAAACUUGAAAAGCGCGCAGAAAAUCAGUCUCUCCCCCAUGUAGCCUCCGGGAGGGAGAACCAAUCUGAUACUGUACUACAUACAGUACUAAACAGAACCCUACCGAGGGCAAAACGGUAAACCGGCCUCCCUGCAGCCCCUGGAGGGCCUGGACACAGUACACCUAGCUAUUAGCUCUCUGAUCCUGGGACCCCACAUGUCACGGACAGAUGCCUGUGUUUCACCUUUUCACCCUCCCAAAGCAACGCAGUUACCGGCUUACCGGAGCGAGCCGCCGCCGCCGCCGCAGCGCAGCGGCGCAGGGCGGUUCGUUCGUGGGAGGAAGACUAGUUUUAGGGCGGGAUUAUAAAAGGGGGAGGGGGAGGAGAAGGUCCCUGUCGCUGUUGCACCCAAGCCACCACCCAUUUCGGCACACCCUUCCCUCCACUUGCCGAUUACUUUUUUGCCCCCCGGCGCGCUGGGCGCCUUGGCUUUGGCCCUGGCUUUGGCUCCGCUGUUCUUAUCUUCCCCACUCGUGCCUGGCUCUCUCUCUCUCCCUUUCUCCUCUCCUCCAAGGUCAUGGCAAAGGAGAAAUAACAGCUAGCGGGCUUGGGGAAGGGAAAACAGCAAGUGGGAGAUCGGCAGGGAGAGGUAGGGAGCUCGAUCUCGCCUUUGCUUGCUUGCUGCUAUCCCCUUCUCUUUCUGUUGUGGGCUUGCUGUUCUCCAUGUCCUCCUGUUGAUGGUUGCUUGUGUUCGAGUUUUUUUCUUUUUUUUUCUUUUUUUUUCUUGGAGAGGAUGUGGUUGUGUUCAUGAUAGGUUGGUGGUCUGUGAUCUGUUUGGGUAGAUCUUUUGUCCUCUUUUUCAGAUAUUUCGUGGAUGCUAGAGCUGCCUGCGGUAGCCAAUUCCUGUUUGGCUACUUCUUCGUUGCCCUUUAUUCCCUUCCAAUUUUAUUCCGUGAUUUUCUGUUCUUGUGCGUAGAAUUGUUUCUGCCAAGCUUGAGUAAAUCCAUGGCAGAGGUCAAAGCUUAGCUUUUUUCAGAUUAUACGAUUUGCUGCCAGCCAAAGGAGAAAGGGAAAAAAACUUAGAAAUUUUCUACUAGUUUUCUCUUGUUGUGUUCAUUAGAUCUCAGAGAUUAACCUAAUUUAAGGAAUACAUGUUGUAAAUCCUGCUCUGGAAAUGUUAAGUGGUUGGGUGUAAGGAAGCAUCUUGUUUUGCAUCGAGUUUAUGGCCAAAAACAAUCAUUGAUGCUUCCUCUAAGGCGGUGUAUGUUUUCCUCUGUUCUCCAUUUGAUGUGUUCUUGAUCCAUUUUCGUCUCUUGUUUUCUUCUGUUCUUUUAGAUGGCCUCCGAUUCCUUUUGAUAAGCACAUGGGUACAUGUUCUUGUUUCCAACAGUCCAUGCCGGUCGUGGUAGACCGAAAAAAUAAUCCAUAAAAAUAUAUCCUUUUUCUGAAAUGUUUUUCCCGUGCUUUUCUAUUCCUUUUUCAUCUCCCACUUUGAUCUGAUCAAGGCUUGUUGUUUCAUGUGUUUCAAAAUACUUCACGGAAAGGAUAAGAAAAGGAGAAAUUUCACAUGUUUAAGUUUCUUUUGAUCCCUACUUGUUUCAAAGCAGCAUGAAAAUACCGUUUCAGCUAAUCCCGUGCAUCACAAAAUGUUUUCAUGCUUCGGCUUUGACUAAUUCUUCCGUUAGUACUUUAUUUAUGAUCAUGUCUGAAUCAUGAUACCUUUAUGCUGUGUAGUAUGAUUAUGUCACAACAAAAGAUAACCAUGUCCUAUAUGACUGUUAAUUGCGUGCUCUUAACUCUGUGAGAGGAUUGCAGGAGAUAUGUCUGAUCAGAUAAAGAUCUCUCUGUUUCACCAAACACAUGCAAAAUUAGGCUCUGGCCCUUGCUUCAAUAGGCAAACCUAAUUUUACUCGCGCGAUAAUCUCCUGGUCUCCUGGCUUUCUAGAUCUUAGAAUGUUUUCUGAAGGGAAACAAACCAGUACUGCCUCUUUAUUUUUGGUAAUGGCGUAAUUGCCGCAUUAGGAUGCUGCGGUAACCGUAGUCGUGUUGCGCAUGUAUUCUCAGUUAAGGAGGUAGUAGUAACACUUAUUGCGUUUAGACGAAGUAAUCAGUUGCUUAAACUUGGUUUUGAUUUCUGUAAUUAACAUCAGCUUCUUCUCUUGCUUGUGUGCAGGUGAAUUACUACUUGAGUAGAAGUGGUACAAGAAGAGUCGUCGUCUACCUGUGAGCGAAUUAUUUCGAGGUUGUGCGUUGCGAUGAUGGGAGGUGGUCUGGUGAUGGACCAGGGCAUGAUGUUCCCCGGCGUGCACAACUUCGUGGAUCUCCUGCAGCAGAACGGCGGCGACAAGAACCUCGGCUUCGGCGCGCUCGUGCCGCAGACGUCGUCGGGGGAGCAGUGCGUGAUGGGGGAGGGCGACCUCGUGGACCCGCCGCCGGAGAGCUUCCCGGACGCCGGUGAGGACGACAGCGACGACGACGUGGAGGACAUCGAGGAGCUGGAGCGCCGCAUGUGGCGCGACCGCAUGAAGCUGAAGCGGCUCAAGGAGCUGCAGCUGAGCCGGGGCAAGGACCCCGCGGGCGGCGUCGUGGGCGACCCGUCCAAGCCGCGGCAGUCGCAGGAGCAGGCGCGGCGGAAGAAGAUGUCGCGCGCGCAGGACGGCAUCCUCAAGUACAUGCUCAAGAUGAUGGAGGUGUGCCGCGCGCAGGGGUUCGUGUACGGGAUCAUCCCGGAGAAGGGCAAGCCGGUGAGCGGCGCCUCCGACAACCUCCGCGGCUGGUGGAAGGAGAAGGUCCGCUUCGACCGCAACGGCCCCGCCGCCAUCGCCAAGUACCAGGCCGACAACGCCGUCCCGGGCUUCGAGAGCGAGCUCGCCUCCGGCACCGGGAGCCCGCACUCGCUGCAGGAGCUGCAGGACACCACCCUCGGGUCGCUGCUCUCGGCGCUCAUGCAGCACUGCGACCCUCCGCAGCGGCGGUACCCGCUCGAGAAGGGCGUCCCUCCGCCGUGGUGGCCCACCGGCGACGAGGAGUGGUGGCCGGAGCUCGGCAUCCCCAAGGACCAGGGCCCGCCUCCGUACAAGAAGCCCCAUGACCUCAAGAAGGCCUGGAAGGUCAGCGUGCUCACCGCUGUCAUCAAGCACAUGUCGCCGGACAUCGAGAAGAUCCGCCGGCUGGUCCGGCAGUCCAAGUGCCUCCAGGACAAGAUGACCGCCAAGGAGAUCUCCACCUGGCUGGCCGUCGUCAAGCAGGAAGAGGAGCUGUACCUGAAGCUGAACCCCGGUGCCCGCCCUCCGGCACCUACCGGCGGCAUCACCAGCGCCAUAUCGUUCAACGCCAGCUCAAGUGAGUACGACGUCGACGUCGUCGACGACUGCAAGGGCGACGAGGCCGGCAACCAGAAGGCUGUUGUUGUCGCCGACCCGACCGCGUUCAACCUCGGCGCGGCUAUGCUGAACGACAAGUUCCUCAUGCCGGCGUCCAUGAAGGAGGAGGCCACCGAUGUCGAGUUCAUCCAGAAGAGGAGCGCGUCUGGCGCGGAGCCUGAGCUGAUGCUGAACAACCGUGUCUACACCUGCCACAAUGUCCAGUGCCCGCAUAGCGACUAUGGAUACGGGUUCCUUGACCGGAACGCGCGCAACAGCCACCAAUACACUUGCAAGUACAAUGAUCCACUCCAGCAGAGCACGGAGAACAAGCCAUCGCCACCGGCCAUCUUCCCGGCAACCUACAACACGCCGAACCAGGCUCUGAACAAUCUGGAUUUCGGCCUGCCCAUGGAUGGCCAGAGGUCAAUUACAGAGCUGAUGAACAUGUACGACAACAACUUCGUGGCCAACAAGAACCUUAGCAACGACAAUGCCACGAUCAUGGAGAGGCCUAAUGCAGUCAACCCAAGGAUACAGAUUGAAGAAGGCUUUUUUGGACAGGGAAGUGGCAUCGGCGGCAGCAACGGAGGUGUGUUCGAAGAUGUCAAUGGCAUGAUGCAGCAACCGCAGCAGACCACCCCGGCACAGCAGCAGUUCUUCAUCCGCGACGAUACUCCAUUCGGUAACCAGAUGGGCGACAUCAAUGGCGCAUCGGAGUUCAGGUUCGGCUCUGGUUUCAACAUGUCAGGUGCCGUCGAAUACCCCGGCGCAAUGCAGGGCCAGCAGAAGAAUGACGGCUCGAAUUGGUACUACUGAGAGUACUGAAGAAUAAACUUGUAGCGUUUAAAGAAAGAGCACCUUAAGCUUUUAAAGUUCACCAUGGUCAUCCCUCUGCUUCCAUGGUGGAAGCGUCUCCUGUGAACCCGGUAAUUCUAUAGGUCUUUCUCAUAUAGGUUUUGCAUUAGUUGCAAAAUGGCUGGAACUUGGAACUGGUUUAUACAUGUAUGUCCGUCCAGCCAGUAAACCUCCUAUGGAAACUUAAUGUUAUUUCUAGUUUAAUUUGUUAGUUAAAUGCUGUUCAUAUGUCUGGUUGUUAAGUCACCUGUGCUUGUUUGGGUAUGUGGUUUGUAUCUUUAUCAUCCGGUGAAUGUAUGAAGUGCUCUCUUGAGUAACUCUACGGCUCUACUUCUACCUGGUAAGCCUUCUACUGAUGUUCAUGUUUUGCCUAUACAUGUUUCAUGUUUGAUUGCUGCGGUACAUUUGGCCGUCUUCCUCUAUAGAUGUCAAUUUCCAGUUGGGGUUAAAUAUCAACCUAACCUGUGGAAAAUUUUCCUCCCGCUGUAUCUUUCAUGCCUGGAAAUUUUGUCAAGAUGGUAACUAGACAGGUAUACUUUUGUUUCUGCCAGUUCAUCAGAAGAAAUGUUCAAUUUACCUGGACUCCAAUUCACUUCGAUAUUGAUGUUGCCACUUUGCCAGUGGCACUAACCCAAGAUCCCAUCUCCAUUCCCUCAUUGGUGGUAAAAAAGACAUAUCCUGUUCGAGUUGCUUCUCUUGUUUCCCGUCAAUGAUCUCAAUGUCUUUCACAUCAAAGAUGCUUGGAAAGCUAGGAUUUGAUAGUCUCAGCUUUUCGUAAAGCCGGGUCAAUGCAAAGCUGCAACCCUAAGAAAAGUUAGGCAGUCCAAAGCUAAGCUUCCCUUGAUGGCUUAUCUUAAAAAGGGAAGAAGAUGAAUUUCGGAUGGAUUGAUGGAUGGUCCCUUGUUUGAUCACAACUCCAAAGAACCCCAUCUCUCCUCCAUCUCCAUAUCUCCCAUGGCCCUUUAUUGCUUGCAAGGUGGCACUUAUCAUCCGUCCUCAUCUUAUCCCUUAGCCUGUGAAGGUGGUGGGACUUGUCACUUGUGACCCCUCCUCACAUGCUAACAGGGACGCCCCCUAUCAUGGGGAUAGAUAGAUAGAGAGAUAGAGAUCAGGGACAGGGACAGCUUAGUCGACAGCACUUGCCGAGUUAACGUGGCAACGGAUCCACAGUCGCUUGGCCACAAGAAAAGCCUCAUCUACUGGGACCAUUUUCUUCUCUUCUUCUCCCUUGGAAGACAAAUCUUGGGGUGACUUGGGGUGAAAAACGUUGGGGAGUUUGGGGAUGGAGAAACUCUAGGGAAAGGUGAACAGUUGAGUCAGUUGAAAGGUAGUAAGGAUUAGGCCUUGUGAGGCCACCAAAUCAGGGCUCUGUCGGCUACAAAUCCUUCUCGAGAUCUGCUUAAUCUGCCCUAAGUAACCCCUUAUAAUAGUUUUAUGCAAAGAGUUCCAUGCAAGAUAAUAUAAGAAAAGGAAAUGGCUAAUGUGACUUGAAAUGGUCAAUUUGCCUUUGGGGCAUUCUUGAGGCAUCCUGAUCUGUGGAUAAAUAUGAGAAGUGCGUGAUGUGUUCUAAAUUUAAACUUUGUGAUUUUAGAAUAGUCAGUCUGGAAGCAUCCAUAUUUACUGCCGUUAAAAUAGUAUUGACAUGUUUGAAAAUACUUCCAUGUACAAGAUUCUAGUUUCAUAGUUGUCGUUCAUAGCAUAUUCGAAAUGGAAGAGAAUGAUGGUCAAAGUUCAAUUGUAACGACCUUGAAAAAUCAAUCCAUUAAUAGCUUAUUGUUGACCUAAAAUUGCCCCCAAAAGCUUAAACUCUAUAAUUAACCUAAAAAGACAUUUUAUAUAGACAAUUUUUAAGUUUGAUGACGAGAUUAGAGAACAACUCACUAAAGUUAAUCACUACUUAUUCCGCAACACGGGCGUGCUAACACGUGCUUAGGACCCUUCCAUUCUUUAUUUGGGCUUGUAUAGGAUGUUGUUUAUUGGUCGAGUCGUUUGGACCGGCCACAAGCCCUAUGAGCUUAAAAACGAAACAGAGGUGAGAAAGCAACCCCUAAUCAUUGUUUAGCGUCAAGAGGGCACUAAUAAAAUGACCAAAAGAGGUGGAGCAAAAGGACAGUAUCAACUGCGCAUAAACAAAACGGAAAACGUGUGGCGCGCGAGAUCGAAUUACCCCGCAAUAAUCAAUCUCAAAAUUAGUUCGAUCGAUCUUCUUCUCCUCGUCAUCAGGUCAUCACCGGCCUAACAAAAGCGUCAGCUACUGGAGCGAAUUAGCCCGUGCAUGCACCAAGGAUCCUCUCUCUCCGUGCGCGUGCGUGCGUGCGUGCACGUACGCGCCAUUGGUUUGCUAGCUGAACCGCGCUGACGGACGAUGUGGCGUGCCGGAUUGACGCCUGCAGAGCGCGCGGCUGAUGAGGUAAUGCGAGUGAGAAGAAGACGCGACGCGAUUCGGUUUCAAGCCCCCGUGCAGCUGGGGCGCAUGCAUGCACACAGGUUGGCAGGUGGUGCCCGGCUGCCGCCGCUCGCGCCCGCCUGCCUUGCCCGAAAGCAACAGGGGGGGUACGGCGGCUUAGCGGGGGGACGGAUCGAUCAAACGCGUUUGACGAGAGAGCCCGUACGUACGUGGCGCGGCGCGACCCAGCCUGGCUGGAUCGACACAGCGCCGCGCUAGCCCCGUCGUCUCGUCGCUGGCUACGAUCGAUCAUCAAUGCAGUCGCCUCUCGGUGAUGAGCGGAGUGGGGACACGGACGACCGAUCGAUCUAUCGAGGAGGAGGAGGUGGUGGGGCGAACGCGCGCAUCAGACGGGAUGAUCGUGUACUGCUACCGUUUGGCUGUUGGGCGGGCGGCGUGCGUAAAUCUUUCACCUGCCGUUCGGUGGCGCGUGUAUCGAUCGGCGGAUGAUGGAGGGGAGGCAUGUCGCCGGAUCGGUGAUCCGGGGAUCGGAUCGGCUGGGGACCGUCCGAUCAGCGCAGGGAAAGGUUUGGUGGGUGGGCGCAGCGUUGGUGGGCGACCGAUGACUCGGUGGGGAAGCAAAGGAUGGAUGGACCAAGUCGCGUUGCGCGCGGAGGCAGCAUAUUCCGUGGCGCGCACUCGCCGUGUGCGCGCGCUCUCGGGGGCGCGCGCCCCAUGAUGAUAACGGGCAGGCAGGCAUCUGGAUUCCCCUGACUUGACUGGUGGUCUGGUGCCUACCAAGUUGGGCCAAACCACUCCUAGGCCUAGCUAGCCUACCUCCCCAUAUGCCGAUAUGCGUCCUCCUAGACCCCUAGUAGUACUGGCUGCUGCUGGGCAGGUCACAGGUUGUGUGACUGUGCUGUGCACAGUGGUACAGUGCACCGGUAAAAUCUGUUCCUGCAUGCCGCUUCUCUCUGACAGCUUCAACUCUUUCGUCAGGUAGGAACAGAACUUCCCUGCAAAAAGAAAAAAAAGGAUAGGAACAGAACUGGAGUACAGUAAUAGUACUAGUACUUCUAGUACUGCCACUUAAAAAUGCACGACAGUGAAAACACAUGAAUAGGAAGAAAAAGGUAAAAAUAAAAUAGCAUAUGCUCAUUAAAUUCCUACAUAAAUUAAAAUUGUUGUUUGUUUGACGAAUAGGAGAAACACAGGAAGUUAGAGUCAUAAAAAGAAGAAAACUUACGGUAUAACCUUAUGCUUACUUUUCCCUAAAAUAUUUAUAGAAUUAUCUAUUGAGAAAUCUAUUCCAUACGAAUUUUCAAAGGGAAAGGAUAGGAUCAAACCCUUUGUUUCACAGGCAUUUUUAGAAAAAAAUUCAAUAGGGUUAAAGUCCAAUACAUUCUUUGUGUUUUCCCUACAAAUAAAAAGGCUCUGAAUCGCUGCACAUUUCUUCUCCGCUGCACCAAUGCGCCGUGCAUUCCCGUAGAAAAACGGCCAAAAUAGAGACUAGAGAACAGUUCUUGUCCAAGUGUCCAACUUGUUUUCGCGCCACUUGACGAAGAGCGUGACAGGUUACAGCAAGUACCUAUAUGCUGCUUCCCCUGAUGAAUAUAUGCAUGUACAGGGUUUUACUACUCAGAUUUUGUGCAUAGGUAAUUGCCAUCUGCAAGUUGGAGAUGGCCACUAGCAAGCAGGUUGCCGGUGCAACUAGUGCAUGACGCAUCGGCUUUCUCCCUUAAUGGCGGUAACCACCAGGGCAAAUUGAGUUGCGAGUUGCAGCCUGCGUCACAUCAUGACAACGAAAUUUACAUGGCAAGUGGAGAUAUAUGCAGUAGUAAUGUAAACCGGCCUAUUAAUCUCCUGUUUUUUGUUAGGAGCAAAGAUUCGCAUGUGCAUACUUUGGUGGUUUUCUACAGAGAGUGAUAGCUGACGUCUUGAUGCAGUGCACCCAGAUUUCGGCUGAUGGGCCGUACGUGUUGUCAAUGUUGCUAUCGCAAUGAGGAAUUCAGGUUUUAUUGUUGAACUUUAUUGUUUGCAGUUAGGAAUUCAGUUUUUGUUAUAGAUGGGCUUACGUAUCACCUGGUCCUUCUAUGCUUUAUGGGUUUCUUGCUGUUAUAGUAAGAAGGAAUAAGUUCAACUUAGAUCCCUCAAUUUGUAAUUGAAUCUAAAUUUCUUACGUGAACCGCAAUACCAGGUAUAACACGUCCCUCAACAGCCAAAACCAGUGUAAAUAAGAUCCUGAGAUAGUUUGGACGGUGGUUUCGGCUGAUGUGGCACCUACGUGACAUAUAGACGUUGUACUUAAAGUCAGAAAAAAUAGAAUAGUAGGACCUACGUGCUAGUGAGUGUCCAGUGAAAAAUAAAAAAUAAUAAUGGGACCCACAUCAUCAACCCCCUCUUUCCCCUCCUCUCUCCCUUUCCUCAUGGUCAUCAGCGCAUGUAGAGAUGGCGCCCUCGCCGCCGCUGUCUGCUUCCUCCUCGUGGCCCCAGUCCCGUUGCGCCAUCCCGCCGACUUCCAGCUGCAGACGGUGGUGCUGUCGUCGUGGUCGAUGUCAUCGACUGCAAGGCUGCCACUCAACCGCUUCUUCCCAAGCCGUUGGUAGAAGCCGAUGCGGCGAAACACUGGUCUCGUGGAGGUAGCACCAAGGCUCAACAACAGCUCAAGCUCUAGCUCACGGACAACAGAGAUGGAGCCCAGGGAAGGGUGGCGGAGAUGGGGCUUGGGGACGGCUACCGAAUCGGAGCAGCGGCCUGCUUCUUGUCGAGGACGCACCUGCGAGGGUGAGGCAGCGGUCGUUGAAGAAACGUGCCUCGGACGGAGGAGGAAGGAGGAGGGAUGAGAUGAAUUCGGACUCCUCGGCUAUUUGGCUCGGCUUGAUCCCGAUGAACGGUGAGGAUGAGUGGGUGGGUGAGAUAGCCGAAGAAGCGGAGGCCGUGGCAGUGGCGGCAGGGUGGCCGACAGCAAUGGCAGCGGAUGAGGACGAGGUGUAGCCGAUGACUAGGCUACACGCCGCAAACUGCCUGGAAGCUAUGCACCCACCCACCAUGAUGAGCAGCCACAUCGAAUGUUGUGACUAGAAGCCAUGUCGGUCGCCACGCGCCUCACCGCUGUUGUGUUGUGUUGUGCGCCUCACACGCUGGCCGCAGUGCUGGCCUUAGUCAUGGCAGCAGCGUUGCGCGCAACCGGACCGUGCCUUAACUGCUACGCCGCGUCGCCGCAUUAGCCGUAGCUCCGACAGGCGUGCCACACAAGGGGAAAAUUUUGUGUCAUUUUUUGGUACCACCUUUUUAUUUCUAUACUAUGUAUUGAAUUUUCUUGAAGAAAUGGUCCGGAUGGAGAGGGGAAAGAGAGAGACGAGGGAUGACGUGGGUCCCAUUGUAAUUUUUUUUUAAUUUUGAACUGAACACUCACUAGCAUGUGGGUUUAAUGUUUUUCCUAACUUUAAGUGCCACGUCACCAGAAAUAGUCAUCUAAACCGUCUCGGGACCUUAUUUGUACUGGUUUUAAGAGUUGAGAGACUUGUCAUAUCUAGUAUUGUGGUUCAGGGAUAAAAUUCAAACAGUGACAAAUUAUGAGGCCUAAAGUGAACUUAUUCCCAAUAACAACUCUGAAGUCUUUUUAGUCAUGUUAUUCAUGACUUGUUGGGGGUGUGCUUGCGUUUUUGAACUUUUUUUUACUAGAAAAAAUGUUCGUGCGUUGUAACGGGUGAAUGUUAUUUUAAUCUUAUUAUUAUUAUACGGUUUAGCUAAGAUGAAAUUCGCUUGGAUAUUUUUUUUAGAAAAUCAUGAACUACAAUUAAGAGUACGACUUUCAUCUCAAGUUAGCAUGCGAGUUUUUUUAAAGAUAUUUCUUAUAUGACUCCUUUUAUAUUUCCAAAAGCAAACGAACUUAAAAUCCGACUCAAACACGGAUAUGUAUUUCUAAAAGUGAACAAACUUAAAAAACUAAUCAAAUACGGAUGAUAUACCAAAAUACCAGCUAAAACAUUUGCAGUUUUUAUAAUAGUAGAGAAAGAGAAGGGAUAGAGAUAGAGAUAAUUGGUUCUAGCUUUUUAAACAAAGGCCAAGAUUCUAUUCCAUUAUUAAAAAAAAGAGUAAGAACUCUGAAGUAGCUACUGGAGGUGAAAUAUCGAAGCACAUCGACCAUGGUCAGUUCGGCCCAUAGACUAUGCACGGUCACGCACCCUGUCCGACUCGAAUUUCGUGUGCUGCGGAGUCCAAUUCCGUACAGGAGAAACACUUCUGACUUCUAGUUCUCCCGCGCUAUAUGUUCAGGCGAACCACUGCGUUCUCGCAUCGUCUCGUUACGAGCUAUCACUGCUGGAGAAACCAUCUUUCGUCGGUCGGCCGAUUUCCACAAUAGUUCCGGAUGCAAUAAAAACCGGGGCUAAAGAUGAUCUUUAGUCCCGGUUCAAAAGGUUAACGGGCAUAUUUGAUCUUUAGUCCCGGUUUGUGUUACCAACCGGGACUAAAGAUCAUCUUUAGUCCCGGUUCGAAUGCUGUCAGGACCUGUCAGGCCCCCCCGGGAUCUUUAGUGAUCUUUAGCCCCGGUUGGUGCUACCAACCGAGACUAAAGAUCUUAACUUUAGUCCCGGUUGGUAGCACCAACCGGGACUAAAGUCCCACCCCUAUAUAUAUGUCUUCUUCCUCCUCCAGCUGCCCGAGCAAGCUUCAAAAUUUCUUCAAAAAAGAGGGGAGGUCAUGCCAAAAUUUCUAUUGAAUUUAUUUUGGUGAUUACUUACAAAUCGGAGGUGCCUAAAAGGUUUGCAACUUCAUCCUCCAAUGUUUUUUUUUUGUCAUACUACAUUUGCACCUAUGUUUUGCACACUUUUUUUGUCUCCAAAAUUUAGUUGUAAGUUGAUGAGAGAGAAAAUGUGUGUGGGGAAGAAAGAAUAUAUAGAAAUUUAGUUCAUUUGCUAAACAAGGUUUUAUAAAAUAGUUGAGAAGGAAAACUCUAGUGAAAGUUAAUAUUAAAUAAUAGAAAACAAACUAAAAUAAAAAUUAAAAGAAGUAAAACACAUUAAAAUUAGUUUAAAACUUUACAAAUAGUUUUUAAGAAUUAUUUGGUGUAAUAUUUUAUAAUUUUUGUAUGAAUAAAGAUAUCUUAUAAUUAUUGUAUGACUGUCAUUAUUGUAAGAAUAAUUAUUUGUGUGCGGUUUUUUUGACUCAUGUAGAUGGAUCGGUAAUGGAUGUACGCUGACCGGCGGUCCAAAGAGUUUAUUGACGGCGUGCACUAUUUUUUGAGAGUGGCCGAAGCUAACAGGCAAAGGGGUUUUAUUUGUUGUCCAUGCAAUAAGUGUAAGAAUCAGAAGGAGUAUUCUGCAUCCAGGACUAUUCAUUUUCACUUGUUUGAGUCGGGGUUCAUGCCAAGCUAUAAUUGUUGGAUAUCCCACGGAGAGCAAGGUGUUGAAAUGGAAGAAGAUGAAGUGGAAGACGACAAUAUUCCGGACUUUGCUCAGUAUGUUGGAUUUGAAGGAAAUCAAACGGGCGAGGAGGAAAUAGCUGCUGAUGGUAACGACGUUGCGGAUGAUCUUGGUCAGAUGUUGCAGGACGCCAGGGAAGACUGCGAAAGUGAAAAGGAGGCCCAUAAAUUGGACAAGAUGUUGGAGGAUCACAGAACUUCGUUGUACCCAGGUUGUGAGCAGGGGCACAAAAAGUUGGAUACCACUCUGGAGUUGUUGCAAUGGAAGGCAAAAAAUGGGGUUAGUGACAAAGCAUUUGGCGAUUUAUUGAAACUCGUCAAGAACAUUCUUCCGGGGGGAAACAAAUUGCCCGAGACAACGUACGAGGCUAAGAAGAUAGUCUGCCCGUUAGGACUGGAAGUUCAUAAGAUUCACGCAUGUCCGAACGAUUGUAUCCUAUAUCGCGGUGAGGAGUAUGAGAACCUAGAAGCAUGCCCUGUUUGCAAAGCACUACGAUACAAGAUUAGACGGGACGAUCCAGGAGAAGUUGACGGGCAGCUAACAAAGAAGAGAAUUCCUGCUAAGGUGAUGUGGUAUUUCCCUAUAAUACCACGGCUAAGGCGUUUGUUCAGGAACAAGGGGAAUGCUAGAAUGUUGCGAUGGCACGCUGAAGAGCGUCAACAGGACGGGAUGCUGAGACACCCCGCCGAUGGUUCGCAGUGGCGAAACAUCGACAGAAAAUUUAAAGAAUUUGGAAAGGACGCACGAAACAUGCGGUUUGGUUUGAGUACGGAUGGCAUGAAUCCUUUUGGAGAGAUGAGCAGCGGCCAUAGCACUUGGCCCGUGACGAUGUGUAUCUACAACCUCCCCCCUGGCUAUGCAUGAAGAGGAAGUACAUAAUGAUGCCGAUUAUUAUUCAAGGCCCCAAGCAACCUGGUAACGACAUCGACGUGUACCUAAGACCACUGGUCGAAGAUCUUAAACAGUUGUGGAAGAAGGAAGGUGUCCCCAUGUGGGACGAGGACAAACAGGAGGAGUUUAACCUACGAGCGCUGCUGUUCGUAGCCAUCAACGAUUGGCCUGCACUUAGCAACCUAUCCGGACAGUCCAACAAGGGGUACAAGGCUUGCACUCACUGUAUGGAUGAAACAGAAAGUACGUAUCUUAAGCACUGUAGGAAGGUUGUAUACAUGGGUCAUCGUCGAUUCCUUGCAGCAAACCACCCGGUACGGAAGAAAGGCAAGCACUUCGAACAUAAGGCCGACCACCGUACGAAGCCUAAACAUCGCAGCGGGAAAACAGUGUUUGCUAUGGUUAAAGAUCUUAAAGUAGUGUUCGGAAAGGGGCCUGGAAGCCAGCAUAUAGAGAGCGAAGAUGGUCACGCGGCGAUGUGGAAAAAGAACUCUAUAUUUUGGGAGUUACCAUAUUGGGAAUUCUUGGACGUACGCCACGCAAUCGACGUGAUGCACCUCACUAAGAACCUUUGCGUAAACCUUCUUGGCUUCCUAGGUGUAUACGGAAAGUCGAAAGAUACACUGGAAGCACGUAAUGAUCUGAAGCGUAUGGAACAACGCGGCGACCUUCACCUGGAACCAAAGGAGAAAGGAAGCCAUUACUUGAGUCCAGCCAGCUACACUCUUAGCAAGGCAGAGAAGGAAAGUAUGUUUGAAUGCUUGGAGAGCAUAAAGGUACCGUCUGGAUACUCCACGAAUAUCAAGCGAAUAAUAAGCACGAAGGAGAAGAAGUUCACAAACCUAAAGUCUCAUGACUGUCACGUGUUGAUGACACAACUGCUACCAGUUGUAAUAAGGGGAAUCCUUCUAGACAAUGUCCGGGCAACAAUAACAAAGCUAUGUGCAUUCAUGAACGCAAUUUCGCAGAAGGUCAUCGAUCCGGAUAGAUUAGAAGCCCUUCAGAAUGAAGUGGUGCAAUGUCUCGUCAGUUUUGAGUUGAUAUUUCCACCUUCAUUUUUCAAUAUAAUGACGCAUCUGCUUUGUCACCUUGUGAAAGAGAUCCGUAUUCUCGGGCCUAUGUACCUACACAACAUGUUUCCUUUCGAGAGGUACAUGGGCGUUCUGAAGAAGUAUGUUCGUAACCGUGCUCGUCCAGAGGCAAGCAUCGCCAAGGGUUAUGGAACAGAGGAGGUCAUCGAAUUUUGCGUAGAAUUUAUCGAAGACCUUCGCCCAAUCGGGGUACCUGAAUCACGCCAUGAAGGGAGACUACGGAGAAAGGGAACUCUCGGAAGGAAAGCAAUAACGACGGUAGACAACAAUUUAUUCCGUAAAGCCCAUUUCACUGUUCUGCAACACUCUUCAUUGGUAGCUCCUUACAUCGAGGAGCACUUGGCUCUAGUUCGCGCCAGGAACAUCGGUAAGUCCGAUGCAUGGAUUACACGGCAUCACAUUGAUACUUUCCCCGCGUGGCUACGACAACAUCUCAUGGGUAACGAGUCGAUCAACCAACAACUUGCCUUCCUGGCGAGGGGACCGUCUGGGUCGAUCGCGACAUUCCAGGGAUAUGAGAUCAAUGGGUACACAUUCUACACGAGAGACCAAGACAUGAAGAGCACGAACCAAAACAACGCUGUUCGUGUCGAUGCCAUGGGACACGAUGGAACAACUGCCACGUAUUACGGUGCCAUCGAGGACAUAUGGGAACUUGACUAUGGUCCUCUCAAGGUUCCUCUGUUCCGGUGCCAAUGGGUUAGGUUGACUGGUGGAGGCGUAAUGAUUGAUGACAGUGGGAUGACAACUGUUGACCUUAACAAGGUUGGAUACUCGGACGAACCUUUUGUCCUUGCCAAUGAUGUAACGCAAGUCUUUUUCGUGAAGGACAUGUCUAGCAAAGGAAAGAAGGGCAGAGGGCCUGAUGAGCCUAAGCGUCAAGUGGUUCUCCCAGGCAAAAGAAAAAUCGUCGGAGUUGAGGACAAGACUGACGAGGAUUACGAUCAGUUGGAUGGGCAACCCCCUUUCACGGUGACGAUUGACCCUAGCAUCCUCCUAUCAAAUGAAGACACCCCUUACUCACGCAGCGAUCACAAGGAGGGAACAAUAGUGAGGAGAAAGUACGUGCCGUAAUUAUUGUGUACACGAUGUAAACUAUUUUGGAUGUAUUGAUUAUCCAUAUAAAUCAAUUGAUGUAUGGCAUAUGUUAAUUACGCACGAUUAUUAGAGGUUUCAACAAGUUUAAAUCAUGUAUAUGCUAGUUAUAUGUGAUACUUACAAUUUUUAAAAGUUUUAAAUCACACAGGUGGCAAUUUCAUAUGUAUGUUAAUUAGAGUUUUUAACAUUUAAUUUACUAGCAUUCAUAUGCUAAUUAUAAUUGACUAGAGGAUUUUUAAAAGUUUUAAAUCACGCAAGUGGCAAUUUCAUAUGUUAAUUAGAGUUUUUAACAUUUAAUUUACUAUCAUUCAUAUGCUAAUUAUAAUUGACUGGAGAAUUUUUAAAAGUAUUAAAUUUAAUAUAUUUUUAAAACUAUCAUUCAUAUAUUAGAGUUUUUCACAAUUUAAUUUACUAUCUUUCAUAUGCUACUUAUAUAUGACUAUUCGAAUUUUUAAAAGGUUUAAAUCAUGCAUGUGGCAUUUACAUAUGUUAAUUAGAGUUUUUAGCAUUUAAUUUAAUAUAAUUCCUACGCUAAGUACAUAUGAUGAUUACAAUUUUUAUUAAUUUUAAAUCAUGCAGUAUGUACAUUAAUAUCUUAAUUAGAGUUUUUACCAAUAUAAUAAUAUCAUUCAUAUAUAUGCUAAGAAUAUAUAUAUAUUGGAAUUUUUAUUAAUUAUAAGUCAUAUAUUUGCUUAUUACGAUUUAUCCACUUAAUUUAUUACAGACAAAAAUAAUUUUUCGAAGUAAUUGUCAUCAAUCUUUGUACUUUAAAUAAUGUUAAUGCAUUAACUUCUAUUUUAUAAACACAUAUGUAAGCGAAAAUCAUAUGCAGUGCUAUAAUCUUUAGUCCCGGUUCUUAACCCUAACCGGGUUUAAAAAGAAUUUCGAAAUAGCGGGAAAAGAUAUUUACUCCCGGUUGUUGAGAACAACCGGGAGUAAAGAUCCAGGGGUAUAUAUAUUCCCGGUGCGCCAUCGUCUUCUUCACCAACACUUAAAUGUUUUCGGCCGAUCGAUCUCUCUCGGCCUCUCUCCUUCGCCGCCACUGCCUAGGGCAAAUCCCCGCGCCGACGCCGCCGUAUCUCGCCGUCGUCUCGAGCUCGUCGUCCUCGCCGCCGCCUCCGCCUCCUCCGCUGCCGCCGCAUCUCUGGGGUGAGAGCCGCCGCAUCUCCCUUCAUGCAUCUCGAUCUCUCCGAUCUCGAUCUCUCUCCGUCGCCUUCGACGCCGCCGCCUUCGACGCCGCGCAACGCCGCCGCCGCAUGCCAACGCCACGCCGCCGCCGCCGUCGCCACGCCGCCGCCGCCUUCGCCGCCGCGCGCGCAAUGCCGCCGCCGCCACGCCACGCCACGCCACCGCCGCCAC
RNAcentral lists this long non-coding RNA (37870 nucleotides) under Oryza sativa (Asian cultivated rice). RNAcentral's name for it is "long non-coding RNA (OSAT_LNC000547)". The record is from RNAcentral. Lineage: Eukaryota; Viridiplantae; Streptophyta; Magnoliopsida; Poales; Poaceae.